AAAGCAGAAAAUUACAAAUGCUGGUGCAGGGGGCGGACACCAGUGAGCUUGAAAGAUUUUUGAAUGACUAAUACCCCCUAUAAUAGUAUUCUGAACAAAAACCCAAGUGACGGGAGUAGACGUUUAAAAGACGAGGAAUCAUACUAAUCUUUUACCAAUAUCAGAGCUAUUUUACAAUUAAAAUAACUAUUACAAUGAAACGAAAAUUACAACUCAAACUUGAAAUAAUAUUUACAAUGUGUGGCCGAAGUUGGGCAAACUGCGGCUGCUAUAGUGUCAAGGGGCUAAGUAAAGCUACGGUCCUUGACAUUCUCCCCCAUUUGUUUUGGCGACGUCCUCGGUGCCAUCAAUGCAUGAUAUGCUUCAAUUAAUGAUUUGAAGGCCCCGAGAUCUUUUUCUCUUUCCCAAGUGGACGGAGAGAGCCAAGUAGAGCCUUUCUAAUCCACGUCUGGGAUGUAAGUUGAAAAAGCAGCGGUUCAUCGUGACCAUUUUUGGGGUUGAAAAUGUCAUAGCAUUAGGGUGGAUGGGGUUGGGUACACCUAAUAUUUAAAUGAAUAAUUUUAUCAUUUACUUAUUGAAAUGGAAAAUUGAAAAAAAGUUGUGCAUGUAAUUUCCUCUAAUGUAAUAUUUGGCCAAAAUAGUUUAUAGACCAGAUGUGCGUGUUAGUUGAAGGUUAAAUAUAAAAAUUUGACAAAAUGUUGAUAUAUAC
This 709-nucleotide long non-coding RNA is filed under the name Olea europaea subsp. europaea. The record is from RNAcentral. Lineage: Eukaryota; Viridiplantae; Streptophyta; Magnoliopsida; Lamiales; Oleaceae.